RNAcentral lists this long non-coding RNA (702 nucleotides) under Homo sapiens (human). RNAcentral describes it as "HSALNT0156611". The record is from RNAcentral. Lineage: Eukaryota; Metazoa; Chordata; Mammalia; Primates; Hominidae.
GCUUCGUAGGGCACGCCAUUCUGGCACCUUCCACUGCCUGCUGCGUGAUGAAUAAAUGGCCGGUGACUCACCAACUGGAGGACGCACCGUGGGUGCCAGCAGGCCGGUUGAAGGCAGGAAAGAGCAGCGCCCAGGCUCGGCAGUCCCAGCUUUAUGGACUACGACUAGAUGACCUAAGGGUUUCUGGGUUGAAGAGUCCCUCGGGCUGAGACAAUGGGCCCGUUUGUGCUCAGUACCUGCCCCGACGUCACCUGGCUUGCUGACUGUUGGCUGUUCCAGAGUGUUCAGCUAUGGAAAUAACAGUGCCUUUCAUUUCUGGAUCCCUUCCAAGAACAGAGCUGGGCACUGGCUGUCCACCCAGCACUUCCCAAGGAUUGUUGAGACAGAGCACCUCACCCAGAGCCGCCUACCCAGAGCCAACCCCUCCUGCUCACUGGUUCAGAGAGCAGAGCCGCCCACAUCUUCUGUUUCCCCCACCAAGUGCUACCUGAGCACCUGCAGCUCUGACAGGGCCAGGGGAGGAUUCGAUGGGGAGCUGUGGGACCAACAGUCACAGGCUUCCCUCUGGAAAUUAGGAGAAUUUCAGACCCAGCUGCAAACAGAACUGUCUCUUGCUCUGGCCUCUGUGUAUUGCGAAUAACUGCCAGAUAUGGACUCUGGGCCAAACUUUUAAUAAAGAAAAUUCAUCCACAGAUGUUCCAC